RNAcentral lists this ribosomal RNA (468 nucleotides) under uncultured bacterium. RNAcentral describes it as "partial 16S ribosomal RNA". It matches the Rfam family "Bacterial small subunit ribosomal RNA", at positions 28 to 507 of the family's 1533-position model. The record is from RNAcentral.
GACGAACGCUGGCGGCGUGCUUAACACAUGCAAGUCGAACGGAAAGGCCCUGCUUUUGUGGGGUGCUCGAGUGGCGAACGGGUGAGUAACACGUGAGUAACCUGCCCUUGACUUUGGGAUAACUUCAGGAAACUGGGGCUAAUACCGGCUAGGAGCUCCUGCUGCAUGGUGGGGGUUGGAAAGUUUCGGCGGUUGGGGAUGGACUCGCGGCUUAUCAGCUUGUUGGUUGGGUAGUGUCUUACCAAGGCUGUGACGGGUAGCCGGCCUGAGAGGGUGACCGGCCACAUUGGGACUGAGAUACGGCCCAGACUCCUACGGGAGGCAGCAGUGGGGAAUAUUGCACAAUGGGCGGAAGCCUGAUGCAGCAAAGCCGCGUGCGGGAUGACGGCCUUCGGGUUGUAAACCGCUUUCGCCUGUGACGAAGCGUGAGUGACGGUAAUGGGUGAAGAAGCACCGGCUAACUACGUG